RNAcentral lists this ribosomal RNA (495 nucleotides) under uncultured Methylophilus sp. RNAcentral describes it as "bacterial SSU rRNA". It matches the Rfam family "Bacterial small subunit ribosomal RNA", at positions 8 to 498 of the family's 1533-position model. Lineage: Bacteria; Pseudomonadati; Pseudomonadota; Betaproteobacteria; Nitrosomonadales; Methylophilaceae. The record is from RNAcentral.
AGAGUUUGAUCAUGGCUCAGAUUGAACGCUGGCGGAAUGCUUUACACAUGCAAGUCGAACGGCAGCACGGACUUCGGUCUGGUGGCGAGUGGCGAACGGGUGAGUAAUAUAUCGGAACGUAUCCAAUAAUGGGGGAUAACUAAGCGAAAGCUUGGCUAAUACCGCAUACGCCCUGAGGGGGAAAGCUGGGGAUCUUCGGACCUAGCGUUGAUGGAGCGGCCGAUAUCUGAUUAGCUAGUUGGUGGGGUAAAGGCCCACCAAGGCGACGAUCAGUAGCUGGUCUGAGAGGACGACCAGCCACACUGGAACUGAGACACGGUCCAGACUCCUACGGGAGGCAGCAGUGGGGAAUUUUGGACAAUGGGCGCAAGCCUGAUCCAGCCAUUCCGCGCGAGUGAAGAAGGCCUUCGGGUUGUAAAGCUCUUUCGCAAGGGAAGAAACGUUACGGGCGAAUAACCCGUGAUAAUGACGGUACCUGAUAGAAGACCCCUGGCC